CAGCCGCCACGGUAAUACGAAGGGUGCAAGCGUUACUCGGAAUUACUGGGCGUAAAGCGUGCGUAGGUGGUGGUUUAAGUCCGUUGUGAAAGCCCUGGGCUCAACCUGGGAAUUGCAGUGGAUACUGGGUCACUAGAGUGUGGUAGAGGAUAGUGGAAUUUCCGGUGUAGCAGUGAAAUGCGUAGAGAUUGGAAGGAACAUCUGUGGCGAAGGCGACUAUCUGGGCCAACACUGACACUGAGGCACGAAAGCGUGGGGAGCAAACAGGAUUAGAUACCCCAGUAGUCCCUGUCUCUUAUAC
Molecule: ribosomal RNA, 301 nt
Filed under: uncultured bacterium
Lineage: Bacteria
Description: partial 16S ribosomal RNA
Rfam family: Bacterial small subunit ribosomal RNA
Source: RNAcentral